UGCUCCUUCGUUAUUGAUGCUUGUAGUAUUUACAUUUACACUGGACCUGCCACAGAUGUAACAGGAGUCUCAAGGAGUAACAUAGUUGAGUCGUUUACAUACAGCCAGCCAGGCCCAGGUGGCCAGGCAGGAACUCAACUAUUAUGUAGCCAGGGCCAAGGGUGUUGGUCUGCAGCCAGCAGCCACCACACUCCAUCCAGGUGCUGCUGUUCCUCCUCAAUCCUGGCCAGAUGCCACCGCUACAGCUACUACUGCUACACGUCCAAUUCUCGUAACAGGUCUGUCUCUGAAGGUUUCCAUCUGGACAUCUUUAGAUCCA
Molecule: long non-coding RNA, 319 nt
Filed under: Zea mays
Lineage: Eukaryota; Viridiplantae; Streptophyta; Magnoliopsida; Poales; Poaceae
Description: long non-coding RNA (ZMAY_LNC001502)
Source: RNAcentral